AUUGAACGCUGGCGGCAUGCUUUACACAUGCAAGUCGAACGGUAACAGGCCUUCGGGUGCUGACGAGUGGCGAACGGGUGAGUAAUGCAUCGGAACGUACCCAGAGGUGGGGGAUAACGCAGCGAAAGCUGUGCUAAUACCGCAUGUGAUCUGAGGAUGAAAGCGGGGGACCGAGCAGCAAUGUUUGGCCUCGCGCCUUUGGAGCGGCCGAUGUCGGAUCAGCUAGUUGGUGGGGUAAAGGCCUACCAAGGCGACGAUCCGUAGCUGGUCUGAGAGGACGACCAGCCACACUGGGACUGAGACACGGCCCAGACUCCUACGGGAGGAAGCAGUGGGGAAUUUUGGACAAUGGGCGCAAGCCUGAUCCAGCAAUGCCGCGUGCGGGAAGAAGGCCUUCGGGUUGUAAACCGCUUUUGGCAGGAACGAAACGGUGUCCGCUAAUACCGGGCGCUAAUGACGGUACCUGCAGAAUAAGCACCGGCUAACUACGUG
This 492-nucleotide ribosomal RNA is filed under the name uncultured bacterium. RNAcentral describes it as "partial 16S ribosomal RNA". It matches the Rfam family "Bacterial small subunit ribosomal RNA", at positions 29 to 507 of the family's 1533-position model. The record is from RNAcentral.